GAGGAUUAGCUUCUGCUCUCAUAUACUAAAAUUGGAACGAUACAGAGAAAUUAACAUGGCCCCUGCACAAGGAUGACACUCAAAUUCGUGAAGCGUUCCAUAGUUUU
Molecule: small nuclear RNA, 107 nt
Filed under: Tursiops truncatus (common bottlenose dolphin)
Lineage: Eukaryota; Metazoa; Chordata; Mammalia; Artiodactyla; Delphinidae
Also listed under: 1 other name
Source: RNAcentral